Molecule: long non-coding RNA, 766 nt
Organism: Haliotis rufescens (red abalone)
Lineage: Eukaryota; Metazoa; Mollusca; Gastropoda; Lepetellida; Haliotidae
Exons: 3
Source: RefSeq, a predicted model, not a curated record
AUCAGGUUCUGGUAACCCUACGCUUCUUUGCAAGUGGAAGUUUCCUGCAAAUCUCUGGCGACACAAUAGGGAUAGACAAAUCAACAACCUCACGAGUUGUUAGGAUGAUUUCCCUUGCCAUUGCGUCUCUUGUGCCGAGGUUUGUAACCUGGCCGUCCGAGAGGGAUAUAGGUGACAUUAGAAAAGAAUUCUACAAUAUAUCUCGAUUUCCUGGAGUCAUCGGAUGUAUCGACGGGACACAUGUACGGGUACUGGCACCAUCAGACAACGAACCUGCUUUUGUCAAUAAGAUCAGGCUACCAUUCGAUCAACGUUCAAGCAAUGUGUGACAGCCAAGGUAAAGUUACUAACUUAGUGACGAGAUGGCCAGGCAGUACACAUUACAGUCACGUGUUCACGAUGAGUAACGUGCGGCAACACCUGGAAUCACACCAUACCACUCUACAAGACGACGUUAUUCUCGGUGACAGUGGAUACGCAUGUCGUUCGUAUUUGAUGAAUCCGUAACUGAAACCAUCUACCCCCGAGCAAGAGCAAUUCAACUCUUCCCAUAAAAAAACAAGGUCAACCAUAGAAAGAGCAUUUGGGUGGCUCAAACGGCGUUUCAAUGUUCUGCACGUUGAAAUCAGGAUGAGCCCAGAGAGAGUUUGACCAUCAUUGGUGCUUGUGCUGUGUUGCAUAAUCUGGCGAUAAUUCUUCGUGAACCCAUGCUGGAUGUUGAUGGAGAGGACGACCGUAACAUUGAAGGACAAUAUACAGGUCGGGA